CAUGACGAGUUGGCCAAUAGGUUUGACCACCCAAUUCCUCUACUGAAAGUUAAACUUUUAGACUAUCGAGACCGACAGAAUAAGAACAAGUCUUUGAUGUUAAUUAUUAGUCUGCAGCUAAGUAAAUUACAUAAUUGAAUGCGAAGACCAACGAAACAUCCAUUCUAUAACGACAUUAAUGAAUGUCGCUUUGAAAGAUCCAUUCUAACCGAGAGAGAGAGAGAGAGAGAGAGAGAGAACUCUCCAAAAGAACGACUCUCCAACAAGGAUCCCGACGACACACUGAGCACAGUCCCAAAGCUCCUCUCACUGAUCGUCUGAUUUGGCAACUGCUGCAGCAGUCUGUGCGAGUUGUGGAAUGCAUUGGUCCAAUCAGCCUAUCCUCUUGCCCCAACCCCUGGCCCGGAUCUGAUGUCAGCUACCCAGGAGAAGGCUGUUUAUACUCAGUGGGUGCCCAGAGUCAAGGCUUCUGGGACGGGGGCCACAGGCCACAGAGG
This 497-nucleotide long non-coding RNA is filed under the name Salmo salar (Atlantic salmon). RNAcentral describes it as "lncRNA (ENSSSAG00000106474.1)". The record is from RNAcentral. Lineage: Eukaryota; Metazoa; Chordata; Actinopteri; Salmoniformes; Salmonidae.